GGACUACACGGGUAUCUAAUCCGGAUCGCUCCCCACGCUUUCGCGCCUCAGCGUCAGCAAAGCUCCAGGCAACCGCCUUCGCCACUGGUGUUCUUCCCGAUAUCUACGCAUUCCACCACUACACCGGGAGUUCCAUUGCCCCCUAGCUUGCUCCAGCCGCGCCGUAUCCGCUGACCCCGCCCAGUUGAGCCGGGCGAUUUCACAACGGACGUGCGUGGCCGCCUGCGCGCCCUUUACGCCCAAUAAAUCCGGGCAACGCUCGCACCCUACGUAUUACCGCGGCUGCUGGCAC
RNAcentral lists this ribosomal RNA (292 nucleotides) under uncultured bacterium. Its description in RNAcentral is "partial 16S ribosomal RNA". The record is from RNAcentral.